This 449-nucleotide ribosomal RNA is filed under the name uncultured Pseudoxanthomonas sp. Its description in RNAcentral is "bacterial SSU rRNA". It matches the Rfam family "Bacterial small subunit ribosomal RNA", at positions 29 to 470 of the family's 1533-position model. Lineage: Bacteria; Pseudomonadati; Pseudomonadota; Gammaproteobacteria; Lysobacterales; Lysobacteraceae. The record is from RNAcentral.
AGUGAACGCUGGCGGUAGGCCUAACACAUGCAAGUCGAACGGCAGCACAGGAGAGCUUGCUCUCUGGGUGGCGAGUGGCGGACGGGUGAGGAAUACAUCGGAAUCUACCUUUUCGUGGGGGAUAACGUAGGGAAACUUACGCUAAUACCGCAUACGACCUACGGGUGAAAGUGGGGGACCGCAAGGCCUCACGCGAUUAGAUGAGCCGAUGUCCGAUUAGCUAGUUGGCGGGGUAAUGGCCCACCAAGGCGACGAUCGGUAGCUGGUCUGAGAGGAUGAUCAGCCACACUGGAACUGAGACACGGUCCAGACUCCUACGGGAGGCAGCAGUGGGGAAUAUUGGACAAUGGGCGCAAGCCUGAUCCAGCCAUACCGCGUGGGUGAAGAAGGCCUUCGGGUUGUAAAGCCCUUUUGUUGGGAAAGAAAUCCUGUCGAUUAAUACUCGGUGG